UUAUUGGGCGUAAGAGCUCGUAGGCGGUUUGUCGCGUCUGCUGUGAAAUCCCGAGGCUCAACCUCGGGCUUGCAGUGGGUACGGGCAGACUAGAGUGCGGUAGGGGAGAUUGGAAUUCCUGGUGUAGCGGUGGAAUGCGCAGAUAUCAGGAGGAACACCGAUGGCGAAGGCAGAUCUCUGGGCCGUAACUGACGCUGAGGAGCGAAAGCAUGGGGAGCGAACAGGAUUAGAUACCCUGGUAGUCCAUGCCGUAAACGUUGGGCGCUAGAUGUAGGGACCUUUCCACGGUUUCUGUGUCGUAGCUAACGCAUUAAGCGCCCCGCCUGGGGAGUACGGCCGCAAGGCUAAAACUCAAAGGAAUUGACGGGGGCCCGCACAAGCGGCGGAGCAUGCGGAUUAAUUCGAUGCAACGCGAAGAACCUUACCAAGGCUUGACAUACACCGGAAACGGCCAGAGAUGGUCGCCCCCUUGUGGUCGGUGUACAGGUGGUGCAUGGUUGUCGUCAGCUCGUGUCGUGAGAUGUUGGGUUAAGUCCCGCAACGAGCGCAACCCUCGUUCUAUGUUGCCAGCGGGUUAUGCCGGGGACUCAUAGGAGACUGCCGGGGUCAACUCGGAGGAAGGUGGGGAUGACGUCAAAUCAUCAUGCCCCUUAUGUCUUGGGCUUCACGCAUGCUACAAUGGCCGGUACAAAGGGCUGCGAUACCGUAAGGUGGAGCGAAUCCCAAAAAGCCGGUCUCAGUUCGGAUUGAGGUCUGCAACUCGACCUCAUGAAGUCGGAGUCGCUAGUAAUCGCAGAUCAGCAACGCUGCGGUGAAUACGUUCCCGGGCCUUGUACACACCGCCCGUCAAGUCAUGAAAGUCGGUAACACCCGAAGCCGGUGGCCUAACCCUUGUGGAAGAGCCGUCGAAGUGGGAUCGGUGAUUAGACGAGUCGACGGAGGUAUAACGGAUACACCUUGAGGUCCUUCAACAAGGGUAG
Molecule: ribosomal RNA, 980 nt
Filed under: Curtobacterium sp.
Lineage: Bacteria; Bacillati; Actinomycetota; Actinomycetes; Micrococcales; Microbacteriaceae
Description: bacterial SSU rRNA
Rfam family: Bacterial small subunit ribosomal RNA
Source: RNAcentral